Molecule: ribosomal RNA, 497 nt
Filed under: uncultured bacterium
Lineage: Bacteria
Description: partial 16S ribosomal RNA
Rfam family: Bacterial small subunit ribosomal RNA
Source: RNAcentral
GACGAACGCUGGCGGCGUGCCUAAUACAUGCAAGUAGAACGCUGAAGAGAGGAGCUUGCACUUCUUGGAUGAGUUGCGAACGGGUGAGUAACGCGUAGGUAACCUGCCUGGUAGCGGGGGAUAACUAUUGGAAACGAUAGCUAAUACCGCAUAAAAUGGAUUAUCGCAUGAUAAUCCAUUGAAAGGUGCAAAUGCAUCACUACCAGAUGGACCUGCGUUGUAUUAGCUAGUUGGUGGGGUAACGGCUCACCAAGGCGACGAUACAUAGCCGACCUGAGAGGGUGAUCGGCCACACUGGGACUGAGACACGGCCCAGACUCCUACGGGAGGCAGCAGUAGGGAAUCUUCGGCAAUGGACGGAAGUCUGACCGAGCAACGCCGCGUGAGUGAAGAAGGUUUUCGGAUCGUAAAGCUCGGUUGUAAGAGAAGAACGAGUGUGAGAGUGGAAAGUUCACACUGUGACGGUAUCUUACCAGAAAGGGACGGCUAACUACGUG